Molecule: ribosomal RNA, 50 nt
Filed under: Asparagus officinalis (garden asparagus)
Lineage: Eukaryota; Viridiplantae; Streptophyta; Magnoliopsida; Asparagales; Asparagaceae
Description: partial small subunit ribosomal RNA
Source: RNAcentral
CCUGUCAUGCUUGCGACUUCCUCUGCCUCCCGGAGCCUCGCGAAUUGGAA